ACCUAUUUUUGUUAAGGAAAGCAUCUCCUCUGGUAACGGUGGUAUCUCCAGUUAACAUCUUGAAGGUUGAUGAUUUCCCAGCCCCAUUAACUCCCAGGAGUCCAAAGCACUGAAAAAGUAAGAUUGGGUUGUGAAAGUAAAGAAGCGGAUAAACCUGCAAAUUAUGAAGCACUUAAGCACAGGCGUUACGGGGAAGGAGAGAUGGGAAAAGCAUUUGAUCAGGAUCUAUCAUCUUGGCUAACGGCCAUCAAAAGAAAAGAGCUGAGAAGAACAUAAGAGAGAAAUUCACGUUCAAACAAUGGAACAUAGAUCUUGUCCAAACAGACCUGGGUCUAUGUCAGAAUCGUUUGGAUCAAUGGCAUCGUCUUCAGUGAAUGGGCGAAGACAG
Long non-coding RNA from Lemur catta (Ring-tailed lemur), 388 nucleotides. RefSeq lists it as uncharacterized. The transcript is spliced from 3 exons. The record is from RefSeq and is a predicted model, not a curated record. Lineage: Eukaryota; Metazoa; Chordata; Mammalia; Primates; Lemuridae.